UUCUUGCACUUUUAAUCGCGUUGCACGUUCUCCGUUUUCCUUCGAUCGUGUCUACAGAACCGGAACAGAGCACGAGCGAGGCGAGGUAGAGCACGAACGAGGCGAAGCAGAUGAGAUUGAAGGCGGAUUUCAAUCUUCUGGGCUUUGGUUCUUUUCUUUUCGUUUCUUUUCUUUCGUUUUUCUGAUCUUUGUGGGUCUCUGAUUGUUGUUUUUUUAAGGGGUUCUUUGCUUCUUGCAGAAAUUGGUGGAAUGAUAUGGGGUUUAGGGUUUCUGCCGCUCCUUCAAUCAUCAGGAAUGUUUUCGUUUUGCUAAUUUCAGCUUUCACCCACUACCAUUGCAUGUUUUGUUCUCUGUCAUCUGAAUCCUUGAUCUUUCAACGUUUUAACUUAUAUUCGAUUAUCCAUCUUUAUUGUUUCAGAUUAAUCUGAACCAGAGCGUGUCAUUUCCGUCAAUCCGUCAUCAUCGUCCAGAAGAUGAUGUGAAAUGGAGGAUCAUUACCAUUUAAGGACACGUUGAGUUGAAUCAGAUGUAAAUUUAAUUGGUGAAGGUCUGAAUGAGUGGCAGCGGCGCGAAGGAAGACAGGAUGGCUGGAUCGAAAUGCAACGGGACCAGCGAAAUGAGUUUCUGCAGCCCCAUUCCAUUGAGAGAAGAUCCUCAAUCAGGUUGAACAAUGAUGUGUACGGAACUUUGGACACUCAUUUUCAUUUUGCCAUUCAGAACCUCUUCUCCUCUGCCGCUCAGCUAAGCCCACCAUCUGAUUACGUCGUCAAGGUCUUCCUUCUGAUGAGAUCGACGAUCAAUUUCGUUCUUAGUUAAGUGGUUUUUUGUGCACUAGCUUGCUUGGCUUCUUCCCACAUCUAUGUGUUUCAAUCUCUAUCUCUGUAAAUAGUGUUGCUUUUAUUUUUUAACUGUGCAAGUUGGGUACUGAGUGAUAUCUUUGAAAAGUUUUAAAUUUACAUUUCUCUCAUUACUUUGUGCUUAUAGUUUUCCUUUUUCAUUUCUCUCAUGGUAUAUAACUAAAAGCCAUUUUGUCAUUUGGAACUCAAGGAUGAUUAUGACAUUGG
Long non-coding RNA from Lotus japonicus, 1064 nucleotides. RefSeq lists it as uncharacterized. Lineage: Eukaryota; Viridiplantae; Streptophyta; Magnoliopsida; Fabales; Fabaceae. The record is from RefSeq and is a predicted model, not a curated record. The transcript has 4 exons.